This is a long non-coding RNA of Symsagittifera roscoffensis, 1267 nucleotides long. RefSeq lists it as uncharacterized. Lineage: Eukaryota; Metazoa; Xenacoelomorpha; Acoela; Convolutidae. The record is from RefSeq and is a predicted model, not a curated record. The transcript is spliced from 3 exons.
ACGAUGUGAUUUUAUGGUCAGACGCAUCUACUAUGAUCUGUUUUCAGAUAGCUUUACAGGCAUGGAAAAGGCUUGCUUGUAGCAAGAACAUCUGUAAUUUACUACUUCUAAAGUUUGUUGCAACGGGCAAAAGCCAUUUACUCAAGCAUAUAUGGAGUGGUUUGGUCCAGCGUCACUCAAUGCAUCUGCAUCGCGGAUUCUUCCAGCUACUUUGAUUAUGCAAUGACUGAUUUCACACCAUGAAAGUGCCAGAAGUACCUGUCACGUGAAAUUCCUACUGAAGAUGAAAAUGAUGAUGAAAAAUUUAAAUCACUUGUGCUACAUGACAAAAGUAACAACAUUCCUCGUGUUACAGAGCAUCGCUUAUUACAAUAUCUGCAGAUAUUAUCUUCAUUUAAUUACUGAUGCUUAACCACAGCAGCCGACUACAACUUGUACUUACUACAUAGAUGUGUUUUAAAGCAUCAAAAACAUCCUUCUUUAACUUGAACUGCUAUUUGAUGGCGAGUUUACUGAAUGUGAAUGCAUUGAUUGUUAGACAAGUUGUCUGUCCAAACAUGAUCAGAUUAAUAUCGAUUUCUAGAAAUAUCGAUGAUUCUUGGUCACCGCUAGAAAACUGGGAGUAAUUCAAAUUUAAACGAAGACCACUGAAUUGGUUUCUCAAAUGAGACCGUCUUCUUUUUACUGUUCCAUUAAUUACUACUACAACAACAACACCAAACAACAACAUUAAUAACCGACUAUUCUUGGGCCUUGCUGGCCUCAGAAAAUGACUUCGCCGCUGACUUAAACGUCUCAUAUACUUGAUUAUACUGCGGUCUUUACUUUUAGCAUGUGAAAGUUCCUCGACUUAAACGCUUUCAUCUUGCGCAAAGCAGAUGUAUAUCGGAAGUCCAAGGAUCUUUUUGAUAUCUUCAAUUACUUGGUUUCCAUCGAAAUCAUCAUCAAGCAUAUUUCUUCUUUUCUUCAACUUUUAGUCAAAUGUUCGUUCUGAAUCGUACUGAAGUUGAGUCUCAAUGAAAACAAUUAGGUGGCAUUUCAGGUGGAAUUACAAGAACUUUUUACGCUUCUCUUAGAUGUAAGUAGAAUUGAUGACGCGACAUGAAAGCGUCAACACUAUGUUUUGAAACAAAUAUGAACAAAGAACACAGUUUUGAAGAAUCGUUUCAUUGUUUAUUAAAUAUACAUUCACAACUUUAAACUGGUAAUUUGAAAUGUUCUGUUCUUAUAAGGAUAACUAAUUAAUGUCUCAAAGCAAAUUUUUAGU